RNAcentral lists this ribosomal RNA (468 nucleotides) under uncultured bacterium. RNAcentral describes it as "partial 16S ribosomal RNA". It matches the Rfam family "Bacterial small subunit ribosomal RNA", at positions 28 to 507 of the family's 1533-position model. The record is from RNAcentral.
GACGAACGCUGGCGGCGUGCUUAACACAUGCAAGUCGAACGGAAAGGCCCUGCUUUUGUGGGGUGCUCGAGUGGCGAAAGGGUGAGUAACACGUGAGUAACCUGCCCUUGACUUUGGGAUAACUUCAGGAAACUGGGGCUAAUAUCGGAUAGGAGCUCCUGCGGCAUGGUGGGGGUUGGAAAGUUUCGGCGGUUGGGGAUGGACUCGCGGCUUAUCAGCUUGUUGGUGGGGUAGUGGCUUACCAAGGCUUUGACGGGUAGCCGGCCUGAGAGGGUGACAGGCCACAUUGGGACUGAGAUACGGCCCAGACUCCUACGGGAGGCAGCAGUGGGGAAUAUUGCGCAAUGGGCGGAAGCCUGAUGCAGCAACGCCGCGUGCGGGAUGACGGCCGUCGGGUUGUAAACCGCUUUCGCCUGUGACGAAGCGUGAGUGACGGUAAUGGGUAAAGAAGCACCGGCUAACUACGUG